CGGAAUCUUGACCGUCAAAUUCAUCGAGCAUCUCAGUGCUGGGAUGUCGGUAGAUAAAGUUGACCCUUUGAAGAUCAAAUAUUACCGACUCAAGCUUGCAAUUGAGGGUUUAAGGGGGGAGGCAUAUUUAUGAGGUCGGUCUCAACCAAGGGUUGAUUGCAAUAUUCCAACCAAGAUGACCAUACACUGUUAUUUGAUUCUUUCCAGUCAGUGAACACAAAAUUUCUCGCCUAAUACUGUGGACUAGCAGAACAAGUCUUACGAGGCCAUACAUAAAUAGCCACAAGUUGUCAUACAUGUAUAUCAAAAGUGUGAAGUUGAAACCUACAGACGACAAGGGAAGAAGGAAGCUCUGUCCCAUACAGGUGAUUGAUGGAGUAAACAUGUUUAUGCCACCAUACCAAAUUGACUGCCCCUUGAAUUGCACUUGACG
This is a long non-coding RNA of Prunus dulcis (almond), 433 nucleotides long. RefSeq lists it as uncharacterized. Lineage: Eukaryota; Viridiplantae; Streptophyta; Magnoliopsida; Rosales; Rosaceae. The record is from RefSeq and is a predicted model, not a curated record. The transcript has 3 exons.